UAUCUUAAUUAAUAUUUAAAUAGUACACCGUUUUAAAGUGUUUAAAAUUCUGGACAGUGACAUGAAUCAUUAUUGAGCCAACAGUUAACCGACAGUUUCCAGAAACAUGUUAAUUUAAUUCUGCUAGAUAACAAUGAAUCGUUUAUUUGAUAACAAUUAGCCGAUAUCUUUCAGAAAGAAGUGUAUUUGCUUAUUCGAUUCUGGAAGAGAACGGUGAACCUUUUGUAGAUAAUGGUGAACCGAUAUCAUCCAGAGAGGUAUAUGAUUGCAGAUAAAGAUCUGUUAACGACAAAGGUUAACUAAUAGCAAUUGCAAAGUUACUGGACAAACACGGCGAACAGACAUCCAGGUAAUGGUGAACCGCCAUUUUAAAUUUUAAAAUUUUGGGAAAGGUGUGUGUGAAUGAAACGGGCGGGAAAUUUUUAAAAUUUUUACUUUAUUCAAGACAUGUGACAUUUGACGUCAAACAUGCAACCCUGACGUCCAACAUGCAACAACUGACGUUAAACAUGAAACCUACAAUAUUUUACGUAAAAAAUGCAAGCGGGACAUCAGACAUGCAACAACGGAUGUUAAACAUGCAACCUGCAACACUGCACGUGAAAUAAACAACUUAUCACAUAAAGUUCGCAACUUUGACGUCAAACAUGAAACAGACGAGAAUAUUCGAGAAUAUUUUUUAUUUUGGCUUUAUUCAAAACAUGCAACAUCGUACGUCAAACAUGAAAUCCAACCGUCGAACAUGCAACAACUGAUGUUAAACAUGAAACUUGCAACACCUCACGCGAAAUAUACAACUUAUCACGUUAAGUUUGCAACUUCGACGUCAAACAUGAAACGGGCGAGAAUAUUCAAGAAUAUUCUUUAUUUUGGCUUUAUCCAAAACAUGCAACAUCUAACGUUAAACAUGAAAUCCAACCGUCGAACAUGCAACAAUUGACGUUAAACAUGAAACUUACAACACUUCACGCGAAAUAUGUAACUUAUCACGUAAAGUUCGCAACUUCGACGUCAAACAUGAAACGGACGAGAAUAUUCGUGAAUAUUCUUUAUUUUGGCUUUAUUCAAAACAUGCAACAUCGUACGUCAAACAUGAAAUCCAACCGUCGAACAUGCAACAACUGAUGUUAAACAUGAAACUUGCAACACCUCACGCGGAAUAUGCAACUUAUCACGUAAAGUUCGCAACUUCAACGUCAAACAUGAAACGGACGAGAAUAUUCGAGAAUAUUCUUUAUUUUGGCUUUAUUCACAACAUGCAACAUUGUACAUCACAACAUGAAAUCCAACCGUCGAACAUGCAACAAUUGACGUUAAACAUGAAACUUACAACACUUCACGCGAAAUAUGUAACUUAUCACGUAAAGUUCGCAACUUCGACGUCAAACAUGAAACGGACGAGAAUAUUCGGGAAUAUUCUUUAUUUUGGCUUUAUUCAAAACAUGCAACAUCGUACGUCAAACAUGAAAUCCAACCGUCGAACAUGCAACAACUGAUGUUAAACAUGAAACUUGCAACACCUCACGCGGAAUAUGCAACUUAUCACGUAAAGUUCGCAACUUCGACGUCAAACAUGAAACGGACGAGAAUAUUUGAGAAUAUUCUUUAUUUUGGCUUUAUUCAAAACAUGCAACAUUGUACGUCAAACAUGAAAUCCAACCGUCGAACAUGCAAUAACUGACGUUAAACAUGAAACUUGCAACACCUCAUGCGGAAUAUGCAACUUAUCACGUAAAGUUUCGCAACUUCGACGUCAAACAUGAAACGAACGAGAAUAUUCAGGAAUAUUCUUUAUUUUGGCUUUAUUCAAGACAUGCAAUAGCUUACGUCAAACAUGCAACCGUGACGUCUGACAUGCAACAACGGACGUUAAACAUGAAACUUGCAACACUUCACGCGAAAUAUGCAACUUAUCACGUAAAGUUCGCAACUUCGACGUCAAACAUGAAACUGACGAGAAUAUUUGGGAAUAUUCUUUAUUUUGGCUUUAUUCAACAAAUGAAACAUCUUACAUCAAACAUGCAAUCGAGACGUCGGACAUGCAACAACUGAUGUUA
This 2057-nucleotide long non-coding RNA is filed under the name Citrus x clementina. Its description in RNAcentral is "Citrus clementina (C. clementina) long non-coding RNA (CCLE_LNC000921)". Lineage: Eukaryota; Viridiplantae; Streptophyta; Magnoliopsida; Sapindales; Rutaceae. The record is from RNAcentral.